This 465-nucleotide ribosomal RNA is filed under the name uncultured bacterium. RNAcentral describes it as "partial 16S ribosomal RNA". It matches the Rfam family "Bacterial small subunit ribosomal RNA", at positions 28 to 507 of the family's 1533-position model. The record is from RNAcentral.
GACGAACGCUGGCGGCGUGCUUAACACAUGCAAGUCGAACGGAAAGGCCCUGCUUGCAGGGUACUCGAGUGGCGAACGGGUGAGUAACACGUGGGUGAUCUGCCCUGCACUACGGGAUAAGCCUGGGAAACUGGGUCUAAUACCGGAUAGUAGCCAUUUUUAGUGUGAUGGUUGGAAAGUUUUUUCGGUGUAGGAUGAGCUCGCGGCCUAUCAGCUUGUUGGUGGGGUAAUGGCCUACCAAGGCGGCGACGGGUAGCCGGCCUGAGAGGGUGGACGGCCACAUUGGGACUGAGAUACGGCCCGGACUCCUACGGGAGGCAGCAGUGGGGAAUAUUGCACAAUGGGCGCAAGCCUGAUGCAGCGACGCCGCGUGGGGGAUGACGGCCUUCGGGUUGUAAACUCCUUUCGCUAGGGACGAAGCUUUUUGUGACGGUACCUAGAGAAGAAGCACCGGCUAACUACGUG